AAUGAACGUGGCGGCGUGGAUUAGGCAUGCAAGUCGAGCGAGAAGCUUUCCUUCGGGAGAGUGGACAGCGGCGAAAGGGAGAGUAACGCGUGGAUCACCUGCCCCCGGAUUCGGAAUAGCCACGAGAAACUGUGGGUAAUACCGAAUAAUGUCUACGGACCAAAGGUGCGAUUCCGUCCGGGGAUGGGUCCGCGUCCUAUUAGCUUGUUGGUAGGGUAACGGCCUACCAAGGCUACGAUGGGUACUGGGUGUGAGAGCAUGACUCAGCUCACUGGGACUGAGACACUGCCCAGACACCUACGGGUGGCUGCAGUCGAGAAUCUUCGGCAAUGGGCGAAAGCCUGACCGAGCGACGCCGCGUGCGGGAUGAGGGCCUUCGGGUUGUAAACCGCUGUCAGAGGGGAUGAAAUCUCUGGGGGCUAUCCUCCAGAGUUGACACAUCUUCAGAGGAAGUCCGGGCUAAGUUCGUGCCAGCAGCCGCGGUAAGACGAACCGGACAAACGUUAUUCGGAAUCACUGGGCUUAAAGGGUACGUAGGCGGCGCGGCAAGUUGGGUGUGAAAUCCCUCGGCUCAACCGAGGAAUGGCGCCCAAAACUGCCGUGC
RNAcentral lists this ribosomal RNA (604 nucleotides) under uncultured bacterium. RNAcentral's name for it is "bacterial SSU rRNA". It matches the Rfam family "Bacterial small subunit ribosomal RNA", at positions 28 to 641 of the family's 1533-position model. The record is from RNAcentral.